This 594-nucleotide ribosomal RNA is filed under the name Triticum aestivum (bread wheat). RNAcentral's name for it is "partial small subunit ribosomal RNA". Lineage: Eukaryota; Viridiplantae; Streptophyta; Magnoliopsida; Poales; Poaceae. The record is from RNAcentral.
AUGGCCUCCCCCACGCCCUACUCCUCUCGCCCCUCCCCUUCCUGGCCGAACCAACCAGCCCACCCAGCACCCUUCCUCCUCCAAGAAAGCAAAGCCGUGCCCUCUGACCGGGGGAUGAGAUCUGCGCCUGCGGGGAAUUUAUUGGCGCUCUCCACCGGCGGGGCUUGGAGAGGCCGGCGUUCCCCGUCGAGAUCCGUCGCGCGCAUCCUCCAGCGCCACCCGCAGCACGUCGAGUACACCACCACCCUGGACCGCCUCGGCCUGGCCGACCUCUCGUCCCCGCACUCCCAGACGCGCGCCGCCGCCAUGGGGAUCAUGCCCCCUCCAAGUCCAAGCAGCGGGCAGCGCCGAGGAAACGACGCAAUGGUUCUCCCCAACACCCCGCCCGUGGACUACCCCACCUUCAAGCUCAUCCUCGUCGGCGACGGCGGCACCGGCAAGACGACGUUCGUGAAGAGGCACGUCACCGGGGAGUUCGAGAAGAAGUACGAAUCGACGAUCGGCGUGGAGGUGCGGCCGCUGGACUUCCAGACGAGCCACGGCAAGAUCAGGUUCUACUGCUGGGACAUUGUUCGGGAAUUCGGUAACUGGUGA